AGCGCAUCUGCCAAAACAAUCUUGCGUGUUUUGCGAAUAUAAAAUUCAUCAAAAAUUAUGGAGCUUCCUCAAGCAAAAAGAAAGGUUUCUGCCGUGUGGGACCACUUUGAUGUCAUUUCGGAAAAUAAGGUUAAAUGUCGCAAUUGCUCAACAGAGCUUGCAUAUUAAAAUAACAGCACCUCCUCAAUGCUGAGGCAUUAUAGGGCCAAGCAUGAGAGUGAAAUCCAUGAUACACCCAUGAUGAACUCAGCUUCCAGGAAGCAGAUGCUUGAUGAGGCUGUGCUUAAUUUCAUUGUAAAGGACUGCCAGCCCCUCGCUGUUGUGGAGAAUGAAGGCUUCAGGGAGCUGGUUCAGCUCCUUGAGCCCUCAUAUGUUUUGCCAACCAGAAAGACCAUCAAACAACUGUUGGCCAAAAAGUAUGUGGAGGAACGGGAACGAGCGAAAAUGGAAGUACAGCAGGCUGCGGACAGAAUGUGCCUCAAUAGUUGGAAGCUCAAAUGAGCCCCAGCCGGGAACAUCUUCACAACAGCUGUCUGCCCCCAA
Cyprinodon tularosa is the source of this 543-nucleotide long non-coding RNA. RefSeq lists it as uncharacterized. Lineage: Eukaryota; Metazoa; Chordata; Actinopteri; Cyprinodontiformes; Cyprinodontidae. The transcript is spliced from 4 exons. The record is from RefSeq and is a predicted model, not a curated record.